ACCGGCUCUGACUUCGGCAGAAAAGGAAUUUUUUGAAAGCAUGUUUUCCUCUCUCUGCUUGUCUCCCACCUUGAGAUUCAAAACGUUGGGUGGGAGCAUCUGAUUUGCCGAACCAAGGCAAGUGUCAACAAACUCAGGGUUGGGCAGGAAAGCAGCUAGAAUCUGCCCUUUCUUGGCUUCUGUGUUGGGACGUGGGCUUUGCUAACCCUCAGACACGUACCACGGGAAACUCCCCAAUCUUGGGAACCGGGCUGUGGGUGUCAAGGUUUACCCAGAGCAGCUUUAUGGAAAGCCAACCCCUGCCUUAUAAUUUCAGGAGGGCGAGGAGGAGGGACCCUGGAGUGUAGCUUGUGGGCUCAGGACCUGUUUGAACGAGAGAGGGCAGCCAGCAUGGAGGGUUGGUGGCAGACAGGAUCAGGAACAAGAUGACAUGUUCUAAUCCUAAGGCGCUCAAAGGCUGGGAGGCAGGGACGUUGAUAUUCAGGGGACUUAGGAGAAAAUAAAACGAGAUAUUCGGCUUUAAUUCCGGGGCCUGCCAAAUUGCUUGGACAUAUUAGCUAAGGAUUUGGGAUCUGGUAUAUGGUGAUAGUGUAACAGGGGAGAUCAGAGAGGGGAAUUACAUUUUUCUUUCCAAGAAAAGUAGGUGUUCAGGAUUUUUGCUACUUUGAGUUUGUCAGUUUCUCUCCCAGCCUCCCCAGGAGCAUUAGCUGAAUUCAGAACUUCAGGAUUUUUCAAAAUCCAUCUGGCCCUCCUUAUUCAAUCUAUUUUCACAUCCAAAUGUCCUUUGUUUACGGAGUCCUCACUGCGUAACUGCCUGGCUGGAUUUCUAUCAUUAGAUAUUUAGUUGCACAGAUAAGUCACUAGAUGUUUCCAGAAAGCUGCUCUUCAGGUCAAAACCUCCUAGGCUCUCCAGGCAACUUAGGCCUGAGUUCCACGCCUACUGUCUUAGCUCAGAGCUUUCUCCAGUUGCCUUUCCAGUUUCUGUCCUUCACAGGGAACCACUUUUCCCAAAUAAAAGCCUUUUUUUGGAUUUU
Molecule: long non-coding RNA, 1034 nt
Filed under: Equus caballus (horse)
Lineage: Eukaryota; Metazoa; Chordata; Mammalia; Perissodactyla; Equidae
Description: lncRNA (ENSECAG00000045479.1)
Source: RNAcentral